AUGAGGACUACUUUUAAGGAUGUUUUGAGGACAACUGAUCCAGUUCCAUUGCCAAAGGCUACUACUUCUGAAAUACUUGCCGUAGUUGAGUUGAUACCAGAGUUGGCAGAAGCAGACAUGUUACGCUCUUAUAGGAAGUUGAUUCUUAACGAGCGCUUGCCUGAAGCUCUAAUCGAGUUGCCCAUGCACAUGAGGACGGUUUGGUUGCUACUGUUGCCUUGA
RNAcentral lists this ribosomal RNA (222 nucleotides) under Triticum aestivum (bread wheat). RNAcentral describes it as "partial small subunit ribosomal RNA". The record is from RNAcentral. Lineage: Eukaryota; Viridiplantae; Streptophyta; Magnoliopsida; Poales; Poaceae.